GUUGUUGCUGGCCCUCUGGGCAUGUGCACGCUUGUCCAUCUUUAUCAUUUCUCCAACUUGUGCACUUAUUGUAGACCAUUAGAUUUGGGGACUGCUGUGCUUUUCAUCAGUCGGCUUUCCCUUUCUUUUAUACCAUUCAAGGUCUAUAUGAUUUUCACAAUCUCAUAAAUGUCGAAUGUAUGUUAAAAACGAAAGAAAUAUAUACAACUUUCAGCAACGGAUCUCUUGGCUCUCGCAUCGAUGAAGAACGCAGCGAAAUGCGAUAAGUAAUGUGAAUUGCAGAAUUCAGUGAAUCAUCGAAUCUUUGAACGCAUCUUGCGCUCCUUGGUAUUCCAAGGAGCAUGCCUGUUUGAGUGUCAUCAAGUUCUCAACCACAUAUUUUUUUGUGGCUUGGAUUGUGGGGUGUUGCCGGCUUUUAUACAAGUAGGCUCUCCUUAAAUGCAUAAGUGGUAUUUAGAAAAGCUACGUGUUGGGUGUUAUAAAUUGAUAAUACACCUUUUUGGCGAUUCUACUAUGCUGCUUCCAACCCUGUUUUUGUUUGACAAUUUUGACCUCAAAUCAGGUAGGACUACCCGCUGAACUUAAGCAUAUCAAUAAGCGGAGGAAAAGAAACUAACAAGGAUUCCCUCAGUAACUGCGAGUGAAGUGGGAAAAGCUCAAAUUUGAAAUCUGGCAGGUUCUACACACUGUCCGAAUUGUAAUCUAAAGAAGUGUUAUCUGUGCUGGACCAUGUAAAAGUCUUCUGGAAUGGAGCAUCAUAGAGGGUGAGAAUCCCGUCUUUGACAUGGACUACCAGUAUGUUUAUGGUACACUCUCAAAGAGUCGAGUUGUUUGGG
RNAcentral lists this ribosomal RNA (836 nucleotides) under uncultured fungus. Its description in RNAcentral is "eukaryotic LSU rRNA". The stretch from base 549 to 836 matches the Rfam family "Eukaryotic large subunit ribosomal RNA", at positions 1 to 278 of the family's 3401-position model. The record is from RNAcentral. Lineage: Eukaryota; Fungi.